GUGGGGAAUAUUGGACAAUGGGCGAAAGCCUGAUCCAGCCAUGCCGCGUGUGUGAAGAAGGUCUUCGGAUUGUAAAGCACUUUAAGUUGGGAGGAAGGGCAGUAAGUUAAUACCUUGUUGUUUUGACGUUACCGACAGAAUAAGCACCGGCUAACUUCGUGCCAGCAGCCGCGGUAAUACGAAGGGUGCAAGCGUUAAUCGGAAUUACUGGGCGUAAAGCGCGCGUAGGUGGUUUUGUAAGUUGGAGGUGAAAUCCCCGGGCUCAACCUGGGAACUGCCUCCAAAACUGCAUGACUAGAGUACGGUAGAGGGUAGUAGAAUUUCCUGUGUAGCGGUGAAAUGCGUAGAUAUAGGAAGGAACACCAGUGGCGAAGGCGACUACCUGGACUGAUACUGACACUGAGGUGCGAAAGCGUGGGGAGCAAACAGGAUUAGAAACCCGUGUAGUCC
This 450-nucleotide ribosomal RNA is filed under the name uncultured bacterium. RNAcentral describes it as "partial 16S ribosomal RNA". It matches the Rfam family "Bacterial small subunit ribosomal RNA", at positions 354 to 796 of the family's 1533-position model. The record is from RNAcentral.